CCUACGGGUUGCAGCAGUGGGGAAUAUUGCACAAUGGGCGCAAGCCUGAUGCAGCCAUGCCGCGUGUAUGAAGAAGGCCUUCGGGUUGUAAAGUACUUUCAGCGGGGAGGAAGGUGUUGUGGUUAAUAGCCACAGCAAUUGACGUUACCCGCAGAAGAAGCACCGGCUAACUCCGUGCCAGCAGCCGCGGUAAUACGGAGGGUGCAAGCGUUAAUCGGAAUUACUGGGCGUAAAGCGCACGCAGGCGGUCUGUCAAGUCGGAUGUGAAAUCCCCGGGCUCAACCUGGGAACUGCAUUCGAAACUGGCAGGCUAGAGUCUUGUAGAGGGGGGUAGAAUUCCAGGUGUAGCGGUGAAAUGCGUAGAGAUCUGGAGGAAUACCGGUGGCGAAGGCGGCCCCCUGGACAAAGACUGACGCUCAGGUGCGAAAGCGUGGGGAGCAAACAGGAUUAGAUACCCGUGUAGUC
RNAcentral lists this ribosomal RNA (465 nucleotides) under uncultured bacterium. RNAcentral's name for it is "bacterial SSU rRNA". It matches the Rfam family "Bacterial small subunit ribosomal RNA", at positions 338 to 795 of the family's 1533-position model. The record is from RNAcentral.